AGCUCCAAUAGCGUAUGCUAAAGUUGUUGCAGUUAAAAGGCUCGUAGUCGAAUUUAUGGCCCUGUGAACCUGGUCCAACCUCUCGUAGGUUGUGAACCGGUGUGCACGGGUCAUUCUUCUGAAGAGCACUUCUGCCCUUGAUUGGUGUGGUUGUGUGAUUCAGAUCAUUUACUGUGAGAAAAUCAAAGUGUUCAAAGCAGGCUUUAAUGCUUGAAUGGUUCAGCAUGGAAUAAUAGGAUAAGACUUCGGUUUUGUUUUGUUGGCUAGACGAACCAAAGUAAUGAUUGAAAGGGAUAGUUGGGGGUGCUAGUAUUUAAUGGUCAGCGGUGAAAUGCGAGGACCCAUUAAAGACUAACUUAUGCGAAAGCAUUCACCAAGGAUAUCUUCUUUGAUCAAGAAC
Molecule: ribosomal RNA, 400 nt
Filed under: phytoplankton environmental sample
Lineage: Eukaryota
Description: partial small subunit ribosomal RNA
Rfam family: Eukaryotic small subunit ribosomal RNA
Source: RNAcentral